GAGGCAAAAUCGGGUGGUUGAGAGAUCUCGAGCGUUCUUCUCCAGCCUUCGACAACAACACGAACCUACUAACUUAAGAUUCACCGGAGAUGGACUACAGCAGUGAAGAAGAGUCGGAUUUUAGUGACUCAGAGAUCAAUGACUACGCUGAGAAACCAUAUGAACAGCUGAGGACUGGAAGGCUUGUUGUAAAAACAGCAAAUGGAAUUCUUAGAUGCCCGUUCUGUAUGGGCAAGAAGAAAC
Molecule: unclassified non-coding RNA, 243 nt
Filed under: Hevea brasiliensis (rubber tree)
Lineage: Eukaryota; Viridiplantae; Streptophyta; Magnoliopsida; Malpighiales; Euphorbiaceae
Source: RNAcentral